RNAcentral lists this transfer RNA (69 nucleotides) under Cyana sp. MT-2014. RNAcentral describes it as "tRNA-Arg". Lineage: Eukaryota; Metazoa; Arthropoda; Insecta; Lepidoptera; Erebidae. The record is from RNAcentral.
AAAUAAGAAGCAAAUUUUGCAUUUAAUUUCGACUUAAAAGAAUGAGUAUAUAAUAUAUCUCCUUAUUUA